CAAGUACUCCCACCGUCCCAAAAUUCUUGUCAUUUGUCUAAAUACAGAUGUAUCAAGUCACAUUUUAGUAUUAGAUAUAUCCAUAUUUAGACGAAUCUAAGACAACAAUUUUGGGACGGAGGGAGAACUAU
Triticum aestivum (bread wheat) is the source of this 131-nucleotide non-coding RNA. Lineage: Eukaryota; Viridiplantae; Streptophyta; Magnoliopsida; Poales; Poaceae. The record is from Rfam.